AGGGAAGGGAACCCAGUCUUCCAUCAGCUGGUGUCAGCACUCCUGCUGUAUUCAUUCCAUUUAAAACAGAUUCAGAUGAGGCAUUGUUUUGUCCUCCUUCUCACCAUCCUUUUUUCAAAAAAGUUGAGUUUCCACACAGAAAUGAACGUAAACCACAAGGACCACGGCCCAUGAUUAGAGCAUGGAAGCUGCCGUAAUGCCCUAGUAGGAUGGCCUUGGCCUUGACCUUGACCUGGGUCAAGGUCAUUCUAAGGUCAAUCUCAUAUUAGCAUUAGUUUUAUGCCUGAGAAUAAAUAAGACUCAUUCAUAAAUGUAUGUCUUGUCAAAGUGCCAUUUACUUAUUGUUUUUAGGAGCAAUGUUAAAGAAGUUAGGUAUCCUCGAAGUUUUGCACUUUGACAAUUAGCCAAAAUACUUGAAGGUAUCCUGUUUAAGAUUAGUACAGUUAUGAAGAGUUAUAAUAGAGUGUUGGAGGUAACAGGUUGUAAGAUGCACUUAUAGCAAAUGAGAAAAAUUGACAAAACUGCACACAGUUUCAAUCUGUUAUGUGUUCUUGUUCAGUGUAGGUAAUUGUAUCACAUGUUCAGAGGAAAAAACUUUGAGGCUGCUUUUGAGUGCAAAAUCCUACAUGUUUUUGAAACUCAUGUUGCAGUGCACUUCUUGAAUGUACUAUGUUGUUUGUGCUAUUUUUGUGCCAUAUUAGAAGUACAUUUUUGAGUAGUAAAGCUCAUUCUUAUUCUUGUAUAUUUAUGAACAGUAAAAUGUCUUUUCUCUAAAUGUUUAAAUGGCUUUGUAAAGCUUUGAGCUGCUUGAUGCUAAAACAAUAUCCUAAGAAAUAUUCUUACUGUUAAUCAUACAU
This is a long non-coding RNA of Lingula anatina, 857 nucleotides long. The record is from RefSeq and is a predicted model, not a curated record. Lineage: Eukaryota; Metazoa; Brachiopoda; Lingulata; Lingulida; Lingulidae.